UACGUAGGGGGCAAGCGUUGUCCGGAUUUAUUGGGCGUAAAGAGCUCGUAGGCGGUCUGUCGCGUCGAAUGUGAAAACCCGGGGCUCAACUCCGGGCUUGCAUUCGAUACGGGCAGGCUAGAGUUCGGUAGGGGAGUCUGGAAUUCCUGGUGUAGCGGUGAAAUGCGCAGAUAUCAGGAGGAACACCGGUGGCGAAGGCGGGACUCUGGGCCGAUACUGACGCUGAGGAGCGAAAGCGUGGGGAGCGAACAGG
Molecule: ribosomal RNA, 253 nt
Filed under: uncultured bacterium
Lineage: Bacteria
Description: partial 16S ribosomal RNA
Rfam family: Bacterial small subunit ribosomal RNA
Source: RNAcentral